UCAUCUUUCUAAAAAUCUAAUUUAUAAAUUCAAUUUCAAUCUCAACCGUUGGUCAAGAUUGAUCCACCUCUUUCUUUUCUUUUUAAUCAAAGCCCUAACCUAUUCUCUCAAAUAGCCACAUCUCACCUCUCCCUCUACUGUUUCUUUCUCUCUCCCUCCGAUUAUUGCUCCACGCCACCAGCAAACUCUCCUCCCCCACCGACGAACACAACAACGUUAUCUCUGAUGCCCACAGACCGAUAACAAUCACCGAUAGAACCCAUUACUGUUGUCGCUUCACCUCUCGCCAAUGAACCAGCCAUCAGUCGCACCAAAGGCGAACCAAUCACCUCCUACCAGUGUCGCUACCCAACUGCCAGAACCCACCUCUCCAGUCGACACAGCAACCAGUAUCAGCCUCGCGAACCAGCUCACCCCGCUGCAGCUGCUCCUCCGUAUUUCACCAUGACACCACCGAUGAACAGGAGAGCUAACCAGUUUGUCAACCAAUAAGCCUCCACCAGGCGCCGCCUUCCUUUUUUGUUCCUUUAUCUGCGGGUAAAGUGACGGUGAAAGGACAACAAUAUUAGUCGUUACUGUACGAUUUUGCUUUUGCCAAAAAUGUUGCAAUGGAUUCAUAAGAAUCUGUCCAGGUGUCCUUGAAGAAUGUGUGGGAUUUGAAGAGUUGCCCUGAAAUUUGAGAAAGGGCAGCCUAUUUCUUCAUAGUUUAGUCUCUGUUUUUCUUUCAUUCAUCGGUCUGUAAUAUUAUUGUAUGAACGCUAUGUGAAAGUAGAAGUUAUGGAGACUUCUUAUAGGGGGGGCAGGGAUUUUGUGAUUUGAUUGUUUUUGCACUUAGAUAUCAUGGCUAUAUGAUUAUUUAAUAA
Long non-coding RNA from Capsicum annuum, 863 nucleotides. RefSeq lists it as uncharacterized. The record is from RefSeq and is a predicted model, not a curated record. The transcript has 2 exons. Lineage: Eukaryota; Viridiplantae; Streptophyta; Magnoliopsida; Solanales; Solanaceae.